This 513-nucleotide long non-coding RNA is filed under the name Vigna radiata. RNAcentral's name for it is "long non-coding RNA (VRAD_LNC009380)". Lineage: Eukaryota; Viridiplantae; Streptophyta; Magnoliopsida; Fabales; Fabaceae. The record is from RNAcentral.
UUUAAUAUAAAUCUUUCAAUAUUUUCUUAAAUAAAAACAUAUAUACGAACGUAAAACUAAAUUUUAUGAUAUAAAAAAUGAGAGUGAAAUGUAUUGAAAAAGUUUGAAGUGUGGAAAGGGUGUAUGAUUGGAAUGGACAUAGAGGGAGGAUAGCAUAAAUUUUGGUGGUUUGUUUGAGAUGAUAUAAUGAAAAGUGAGAGUAAUAAUAUGAACAGUCAAUGAUUGAAGGAGAGGUGAUAUGAUACAGCACUGAAGUGGACAUGAAAAUGUCACUUCACAUAAAGAAUGGAGGAGAUGCCAUAAAGGUUUCAAAGUAGUGUGAAGGUGGAGGAAGAGAUAGCAUAGAUUAGAUUAUAGAUUAGAUAGAUGCUUUUUAUCGCUUUCCUUUUUCAUUCUAAAAGCCUAUACUAGGAUGCAUAAUUAAUCUCACACGUGAUGGAUUAAUCACAUUAACAAAAUUUUCCUCUUUCUCGUUAAUUAUUUUAUAAACAUGUUUCCUUCGUAUUGUAAUCA